Molecule: long non-coding RNA, 1051 nt
Organism: Bicyclus anynana (squinting bush brown)
Lineage: Eukaryota; Metazoa; Arthropoda; Insecta; Lepidoptera; Nymphalidae
Exons: 2
Source: RefSeq, a predicted model, not a curated record
GUUUUCAGUUCAGGUAUUGAAUUUAACAAGAGCACGUCCAUUUUACAUUUUUACUACCGAAAUGGGGUGUAUUCCAGGCAGAAGCAGGAAACCGUCAUGUCUCUUAUAAGUUUAUCGUCAAACCUUGGCGGCGUGUUUGGCCUAUGCAUGGGAUGCAGCGUGAUCACUGUCGUAGAAGUGAUCUUCUACAUCCACAGCGCUAUCAAGAACAAGGUCCGAGCACACCUGCAGAGUCUUAGGAGGUACAAGAAUAAGGUUAAUAUUAUGAAAUAAUACAUGAAGAAAAAUUUUAAAACUAUAUUUUUGAUCUUCUAGACAUAAAUACUCUUUUGAUUUAGAUAAGUCUCAGACUGCGACAUCAUUACCGUAAAAUUUCAAAAUGGCGGCCGUUCAGUAGUCACUAAUCUUACGACAAUUGGUAACAUAUCAUCUGCGUCUGGGUCCCUGUAGCAUUCUCCCUGAAAGCUUUUAUCUUCAGAAUAACCUAUGCAGGAUAUUUGCUAACCUAACCUAACCUAUGAAGGAUAUUUUAGUGCACAAGUGUGAGCGCAAACAAUGCAAUAUCUAUAUUACUCAUCACCUCAUAGGCUGAUACAAUGGCUCACCCACUCGACUGGGGAAUGGAGAUUAGGCGCAAAACCGACAGUUUUACGUAUUCUUUGAAAUACGGGUGCGUACCAAAAGCGCUGAUUUCUUAACUCCAGGCUAUUUGAAAAACCCAAUAACUCACAGGGAUUUGAACCCGCAUUAUCCAUAGUCAAAACCAAAAACAGCUAGCUACGGGAUGAAUGAGGCUCAAGUAUUACAGAUGCUGAUACACCAGUGGAUUCUUAGAAUUAUCCCUGUAGGGUUCGAAUAUUUCAUCGAAAUAAAGUCUUACUCACCUUUGUCAAAUUUUUGCCUUAUGCUUAAUUGCUUAGUUUCUUUCUGGAUGAUUCAACACUGCUUCUAGACUUAAGUAAUAGUAAUAACAAAGAGCUUCUGUUCCUCGACUAUUUGACUUACGAGUUUUAAUUAUAUUAGAAAAUAAAUAUUGCACUUUAAAAAACUA